Long non-coding RNA from Homo sapiens (human), 1388 nucleotides. Ensembl annotates it as mir-99a-let-7c cluster host gene. Its record names the gene MIR99AHG. The record is from Ensembl. NCBI's taxonomy places the organism in Eukaryota, Metazoa, Chordata, Mammalia, Primates, Hominidae.
GGCACUAGUAGCUCAGGCUAGCAAGGAAGGAAAAAAGAGGAAGUUUCUCUCUGCGUUCUGAUUACACUCUGAAUUCCCUUGUAGUGAGCUUACUUCUCUCCACCCACUUCUUACCAAGAACUCCUUAACUUGAGGGUGAACAACUUAAAGCUUGAUCCUACAGUUACCUGAAAAGUGAUUUGAGUAUUCAUUGAACUGAAAGAACAAAUCGCCUACUUCAGGCGGUGGCAAGCGUAUGGAAAUUAUAUUAGAACUUCAGCAAAGUGCACAGCUGCAUAAUAGAGAAGCCGGCACUCAGAUUGACAGGCAAAUAAGCCAGCUUGUGGAAGGGGCCUCUGGGUGGCAGCUCUGGGCUUUUGGGUGUUGGACAACCAUAGGCAAAACUGAAAUGGAACAGGGGCAGAAAAUAGCACACUUUUACUCUACGCAACUGUUGCUUUUUCAUGAUCUUCAGGAAUUUUACUGGGAUAAUUAUCCAAAUAAAUUGCAAGCAUUCUAUCCAAAUGGAGCUCUUUCUGAGAUGAAGAGAAUUCUCAAUGUCAAGAUUUGAACAAGAAGAGAAUGGAAUACACAAUAUGGACAUCCAUAAAAAUUCAUCAGAGAGCAUUUUACUACUGAGCUGCAAAGGGAAAAACUUAAAAUGGAUAUGAAAAGUGAAGAAAGUGAUCAUAGGAGAAAACCAUUUCAGGUAAAAAUAAAAAACAAAGAGCAAAUAAGAUUUACUGUUUUUAAAGAAAAACAACAUUCUUUUGACUGUGUUUUGUUAUAAGAAUUAAUUUCAUAUUCUUUAUGAGUGUAACUGUUGAAAUUUUAUUGAUGGUUUUCAUUUGAAAAUGUGUGCUAUGACCUACCUUUGUGAAAAAUUUCUUGUGGUCAAUUGGGCAGUUUGUGUCCCAUUGAAUAUAUGUCUGUGUAUCCAUACGCUUAAGAUAGGUGCAAUACGGUUUACUAGAAAGCUUUAUAGGAAAAGAAAAAAAUUAUAUUUUCUUAUUUGUUGUACCAUAUAAAAGGAAGUGAAAUCAGGAGGAGGGGAAUAAGGUCAUGCUUUUUCAUCUUUUUUACAUGACCUGAUAAGACAAUGAAACCAAAACAUGCUUUCUUAUAGUUAUGGUAAAACUAAACCCAAUGCUGCCUCUUAUUUCACAUUUGCAUUUAUAAAUAUAUGUUGAAAUAUUUUUACUACAACUGAAUGUAUGAUUGUUGAUUAUUUACUAUAGUUUUUAAUAAUUAUGAGGACAAUUUAAGAAUAAAUAAUGGUUUAAAAUUAUGUAGAACACAUGAUCUAUAUAAAGGCUAUAAAACGUAUUUAUUUCAAAAUAUGCAAAAUCACUAAGCAAUUAGUAUGUAGUAUUAUUUUACACAAUAAAGAUAUAAUUAGGAAAUGCUAA